RNAcentral lists this ribosomal RNA (497 nucleotides) under uncultured bacterium. Its description in RNAcentral is "partial 16S ribosomal RNA". It matches the Rfam family "Bacterial small subunit ribosomal RNA", at positions 28 to 507 of the family's 1533-position model. The record is from RNAcentral.
GAUGAACGCUGGCGGCGUGCCUAAUACAUGCAAGUCGAGCGAACAGACGAGGAGCUUGCUCCUCUGACGUUAGCGGCGGACGGGUGAGUAACACGUGGAUAACCUACCUAUAAGACUGUGAUAACUUCGGGAAACCGGAGCUAAUACCGGAUAAUAUAUUUAACCGCAUGGUUCAAUAGUGAAAGACGGUUUUGCUGUCACUUAUAGAUGGAUCCGCGCCGCAUUAGCUAGUUGGUAAGGUAACGGCUUACCAAGGCAACGAUGCGUAGCCGACCUGAGAGGGUGAUCGGCCACACUGGAACUGAGACACGGUCCAGACUCCUACGGGAGGCAGCAGUAGGGAAUCUUCCGCAAUGGGCGAAAGCCUGACGGAGCAACGCCGCGUGAGUGAUGAAGGUCUUCGGAUCGUAAAACUCUGUUAUUAGGGAAGAACAAAUGUGUAAGUAACUAUGCACGUCUUGACGGUACCUAAUCAGAAAGCCACGGCUAACUACGUG